AUUCAGCUGAAGGGUCCCGGGCAGGACAAAACUCGCGUCCUGAAU
RNAcentral lists this non-coding RNA (45 nucleotides) under Schistosoma margrebowiei. The record is from RNAcentral. Lineage: Eukaryota; Metazoa; Platyhelminthes; Trematoda; Strigeidida; Schistosomatidae.